GUGAUGAGGCUAGACUAAGCCGAGAGAUGAUGUGGCGUGAAAGGGCUGA
This 49-nucleotide small nucleolar RNA is filed under the name Pyrobaculum arsenaticum DSM 13514. RNAcentral describes it as "PARsR05". The record is from RNAcentral. Lineage: Archaea; Thermoproteati; Thermoproteota; Thermoprotei; Thermoproteales; Thermoproteaceae.